RNAcentral lists this ribosomal RNA (253 nucleotides) under uncultured bacterium. RNAcentral's name for it is "partial 16S ribosomal RNA". It matches the Rfam family "Bacterial small subunit ribosomal RNA", at positions 524 to 776 of the family's 1533-position model. The record is from RNAcentral.
UACGGGGGGGGCAAGCGUUGUUCGGAAUUACUGGGCGUAAAGGGUUCGUAGGUGGCCAACUAAGUCAGACGUGAAAUCCCUCAGCUUAACUGGGGAACUGCGUCUGAUACUGGUUGGCUUGAGUGCAGGAGAGGAAUGCGGAAUUCCAGGUGUAGCGGUGAAAUGCGUAGAUAUCUGGAGGAACACCGGUGGCGAAGGCGGCAUUCUGGACUGCAACUGACGCUGAUGAACGAAAGCCAGGGGAGCAAACGGG